UGUCAUGGCUUGGAAGACAGGCUUUAGUAUCAGAUUAACCUGGGGUUGAAUCCCAGCUCUGCUCCUUACUCGCCGGUGUGAUCUCAAGCAGACACCCACUUUCUGCUCCGCUCAGAAUCCUCAGUGACACCUCCUCUCACCCCUAUCCCCUCCGUCCAUCCACUCCUGGAGCACAGCCCCGCCAGACCCGGCCGGGCCCAGCCCCGCACCCAGGGCCUCCACCAGAACGCUAUUCCCACUGCGGCACCCCCUGGUAGCCAACGCCGCGACUCCUGCCUGACAUCAGGAAGUGGAAUCCCCACCUUCACCUGACACUAUGCAGCAACUAAGGCUCCAACGAUGCCCCAUCCUUGCUUGAAGUACACCUGGACAUAUCCUUCUAUUGGCUCCUCAUGUGCUAACGAAAGUCCUCCUGAUAACACAGCCACAAUGAGAAUACAAGAGAGUGUUCCAAAUUCCACAAUACCACUUGUGAUGCUUCUCACCCAAACAGAAAGCCAGAUACUUCCUUAAGCCAUCCUCAAUUUGAGCACAUCCUGCAAGCCCAAGUCUGGGAUAAGCAACGAUGGCUGUAAAUCUUCAAUAACUCAUAUCCUCCCUAACCCAUCAACAACUGAGACUCUCCAUGAAGCACACUACAGAAGAGCCUGCACUUUUUUAGCAAAGCCAGAACAAGAGGGAGAAAGAUCAAAGGCAGUGAAGAAAUGUGAUUAAACUUGCAUUUUAGAAAGAACACUGGCUAUGGUAUAAAGGAGGUCUGAGUCAGGGAAGCGCAUGGGAUGCUCUUGGUAUCACCAAAGUCACCACAGUCCAGCCACUGUUCUAGGUGCUGGGGAUUCAGCUGUGAAUAAAACAAAAAUUCCUAUCCUCCCAGAGCUUAUGUUCUGAUCAGAAGGAUAAAGACAACUCCAAGAAAAUUAACUAGCUCUAUGGUAAAUGAGCUGCCAAGCGGGAGAAGCAACUCCAGUGUCCAUGAUGGGUGAAUGGCUAAACAAAACAUGGUACAUGCGAACAACGGAAUGUUAUUCAGCCUGACAAAAGACGGGAAUUCUGACACAUACUACAGCAUGGAUGAACUGUGAGGACAUCAUGGAGGAGGAGGUCAAGGUGUUCAUUUAUCACCCGUGGACCCUGUCUUGCCAUCCCAAGGAGGAAGAGAGGACGAUCCCAAGUAGAACGGGCUGCUGGGCCACACUGCCCGGAUCCCCAUCUGCCUUUCUCCUGCCUCAUUUCCAAUUCCAGAAUUAUUCAUCAUCAAGAAGCUGCCGGAGAUGGAAUGUGAAUUAGGAGCUCAGCUUGAUUUUGUUUUAUCUUAUUUUCCCCCACGAGGCGCCGCCUGAGUGGGGCGGGGUGGGAGUGGGCCGAGCUUUGUUGUGACUUGUCGCCAAGCAAACGCGGUGUCAGCUUCCACGCAGGAGGCUGAGCAUGGAGCAUCCUGGGGCCUGUGCAGAGGAUGCUUAUUCUAGGAAAUAAUUACCCGCGUGUCCCUUCAAGUUGGCCCAAAAAAUAGAACACUCAGGAGUGAGUGCUGUUAUACCUUCUUAAUUAGUUUCCUCGUUUAACCCGGGUCAUUACUAGAAAGGCAUUCAGGCUCUGGAGACAGACCACGUUUUGAUCUUUUACUCCCGCUUACUCAUGGGCAACCUUAAUGAAAGUCACUCAGCCUCAGUCUUCUCAUCUGUAGAAUGAAAUGUAGAAUAAUGAAAGUACCUAUACUGUAGGGUUGUGGUGAGGAUUGAUAAAAUGUCAUGUGUGAAGGGCUUGGCACUGAUAUGCCAGUGUGUGGAAGCUGACUUUGUGUCACCCUGAUCAUCACCACCAUCACCAUCAUCAUCAUCACUAUCAUCAUUUCCAUCGGGUUGCUUUGUAUAUGCUGACACUAUUAGACAAAAUAAAGUG
This is a long non-coding RNA of Gorilla gorilla gorilla (western lowland gorilla), 1899 nucleotides long. RefSeq lists it as uncharacterized. Lineage: Eukaryota; Metazoa; Chordata; Mammalia; Primates; Hominidae. The record is from RefSeq and is a predicted model, not a curated record. The transcript is spliced from 6 exons.